This is a long non-coding RNA of Syngnathus acus (greater pipefish), 992 nucleotides long. RefSeq lists it as uncharacterized. NCBI's taxonomy places the organism in Eukaryota, Metazoa, Chordata, Actinopteri, Syngnathiformes, Syngnathidae. The record is from RefSeq and is a predicted model, not a curated record. The transcript has 7 exons.
GAAGAAGUGUGCAGCGCAAGUAAAGUGGCCUAUGGGUUUGAGCCCGUUGCUUCUAAAGACAACAUUUUAAAAAAGACACAAAGGAAGGCUGGUAUCAGACUCCAAGCCUGGAGAAAAGAGAAGCAUCUGUAUUAAAAACUGACCGGACUCCACAAGGUACAGAUUGAUUUUUGACUUAUUCUUGAUUGUAGAAGUAAUCACAACUACCUUGUGUUAUCUUUGGAAAUUGAUCUGUUAUUGGUGGUUUGAAUAUACUUAUGUAUGCUUAGCUACUGUCGAGCAUAUGCAAAAAGCGUAAUUGCAAUCUUCAAUAUGGAACUUCCAAACAGUUUAUCAUUGGAGAAUGGUUCAUUUGAAUUUUGCAGCUAACAUUUGCUUCAUUCUUCAACAGCUCGGAAGUGAGUGUGAAACGCCCAUGACAGGGAAAAUUUCUGAAGGUCAUCAUGGAGCCCCUUCUGGCAAUCCCUGGGCGGUGUCAGGGUCCAGGGUGGCAUACUUCUUUUGUCCACAGGGAGCAACCGAGAGCAGAGUGGCAGAGUGCAGAGGGCCCAGAUUACCUCCACCGAUCACCGCCAAGAUCCACCCCGUUCUGGCUGAACUCCACACACUCCGCCAUUACUGCUCCCGCUCCGUGCUCCUGGCUCCGAUCAUCCCGCUCUACCUCCACCGCAGCUCCUCCAAUAAACACUCCUCACUCAUUCUGGACGCCUGAGUUGUUUUUUCUGCAUAUUGCAAAGCAGUCUUGUGUGAGGAGGCUGCUGAUUUGAAGACCUGCAUGUUUCCAAGACCAUGGACAGAGUCUACACAAAUGACAAUGACAACGUUCAAUAUGUGUGCUUGUGUGACUCGUGCAGAGGGCCCUCAGGAAGACUGCUCUGAUAGCGCUGGUCUACAAUGGGUGGUGCCUGAUGUCCAUCGAGUUCAUCUUUGUAGAAGCUGUUGGCGACACGCACAGAGGCCACGGAUGAUGAAACAAGGACCGCAAUGGCUUU